UCCCAUGUAGCUCAGUUGGUUAGAGCGUGCGGCUGUUAACCGUAAGGACAGUGACCGCAAUGUCGUGUGUUCGAGUCACACCAUGGGAG
This 89-nucleotide transfer RNA is filed under the name Emiliania huxleyi virus 202. It matches the Rfam family "tRNA". From Rfam's summary of the family: Transfer RNA (tRNA) molecules are approximately 80 nucleotides in length. Lineage: Varidnaviria; Bamfordvirae; Nucleocytoviricota; Megaviricetes; Algavirales; Phycodnaviridae. The record is from Rfam by way of RNAcentral.